RNAcentral lists this ribosomal RNA (253 nucleotides) under uncultured bacterium. RNAcentral's name for it is "partial 16S ribosomal RNA". It matches the Rfam family "Bacterial small subunit ribosomal RNA", at positions 524 to 776 of the family's 1533-position model. The record is from RNAcentral.
UACGAAGGGGGCUAGCGUUGUUCGGAAUUACUGGGCGUAAAGCGCACGUAGGCGGAUCGAUCAGUCAGGGGUGAAAUCCCUCGGCUCAACUGAGGAACUGCCUUUGAAACUGUACGGCUUGAGGCCGGGAGGGGGUAGUGGAAUUCCCAGUGUAGCGGUGAAAUGCGUAGAUACUGGGAGGAACACCAGUGGCGAAGGCGGCUACCUGGACCGGUUCUGACGCUGAGGCGCGAAAGCGUGGGUAGCAAACAGG